UGGGGGAUAUUGCACAAUGGGCGAAAGCCUGAUGCAGCGACGCCGCGUGGGGGAUGAAGGUUUUCGGGUUGUAAACCUCUUUCGCUAUCGAACAAGGCCCGCUUAGGGUGGGUUGAGGGUAGGUGGAGAAGAAGCGCCGGCUAACUCCGUGCCAGCAGCCGCGGUAAUACGUAGGGCGCGAGCGUUGUCCGGAAUUAUUGGGGGUAAAGGGCUUGUAGGCGGCUUGUUGCGUCUGCUGUGAAAACGCGGGGCUUAACUUCGCGCGUGCAGUGGGUACGGGCAGGCUUGAGUGUGGGAGGGGUGAAUGGAAUUCCAGGUGUAGCGGUGGAAUGCGCAGAUAUCUGGAGGAACACCGAUGGCGAAGGCAGGUCACUGGGCCAUUACUGACGCUGAGGAGCGAAAGCAUGGGUAGCGAACAGG
Molecule: ribosomal RNA, 420 nt
Filed under: bacterium
Lineage: Bacteria
Description: partial 16S ribosomal RNA
Rfam family: Bacterial small subunit ribosomal RNA
Source: RNAcentral